This is a long non-coding RNA of Anas platyrhynchos (mallard), 337 nucleotides long. RefSeq lists it as uncharacterized. Lineage: Eukaryota; Metazoa; Chordata; Aves; Anseriformes; Anatidae. The record is from RefSeq and is a predicted model, not a curated record.
CAGCAAACUGUGAAAGAGUUUACAGUUCCACCUGACCAAGAGGCGAGCUUCACCACAAAAGGUCCCUCCCAAGAACUCCCUUUUGGUUCCUCUCGAGUCCAGCUGCGCAGUUACAGCCAUUCAUCAUCACUGACCGAAUCUCACUGAUUGUUAUGACACAUCCUCAUCUUGUUACUGCUCUAAAACCAAAGCACAGAUUAAAGUUUCACAUCAGAAAUUCUAGCCUCAUUUCACUCCAUACACUGUUAUGACGGACAAGAAGCACUUCAAGGAGCACUUUCAGGAUUUCUUUACUGUGAGUGACUGAGAUCCAAAGAUGUGGAGUUUUCCCCCUCGC